Long non-coding RNA from Portunus trituberculatus (swimming crab), 475 nucleotides. RefSeq lists it as uncharacterized. Lineage: Eukaryota; Metazoa; Arthropoda; Malacostraca; Decapoda; Portunidae. The transcript is spliced from 3 exons. The record is from RefSeq and is a predicted model, not a curated record.
AAAAGCUGCAGCCAGUGAGACGCACCCCUGAGACCCGAGACCCGCCGCGCCACCACCAAUAUGGAUCAUCGCUUUCUGAUGUUCACUCUCUUAGUGUGUUUCCUGGUGGCUGCCAUGGAAGCCUCGCCCUUCCUGAGAGACAUGUGAGAGCAGCGCGUUCAGGAGACCCGUGGUGUUGGUGCGGUGACUACCCGUGCCCGUGUGACAUCGCUCCAACAUUCUCCUUCUGAUUGCCGGCCCUGCGUGCCCCAGCAAAGACAAAGGAAGCGAAAGUGAACACCAUGUUUCCUUUUUUCUUUUCAUAUAAUCUUUAUCUGCAUGUGUAGAUACCUUAAAGUAACAUGUUUUACACAGAACACUCCAGGUGUGCUUCCAGUGUUGCACAGAUCGAAGUCACAAACUAUUCAGUCUCAGUCUCUGCAACUCACAAUACUGAAAGCUGUAAAACGCCAUAUGAAAUAAAAGUUUAACUCCA